UACGAAGGGGGCAAGCGUUGUUCGGAAUUACUGGGCGUAAAGGGCGCGCAGGCGGCCAAUCAAGUCAGAUGUGAAAGCCCCGGGCUCAACCUGGGAAUAGCAUUUGAGACUGGUUGGCUAGAGAUCGGGAGAGGAGAGUGGAAUUCCCAGUGUAGAGGUGAAAUUCGUAGAUAUUGGGAAGAACACCGGUGGCGAAGGCGGCUCUCUGGACCGAUACUGACGCUGAGGCGCGAAAGCUAGGGUAGCGAACGGG
RNAcentral lists this ribosomal RNA (253 nucleotides) under uncultured bacterium. RNAcentral's name for it is "partial 16S ribosomal RNA". It matches the Rfam family "Bacterial small subunit ribosomal RNA", at positions 524 to 776 of the family's 1533-position model. The record is from RNAcentral.